This is a non-coding RNA of Electrophorus electricus (electric eel), 1966 nucleotides long. The record is from RefSeq and is a predicted model, not a curated record. NCBI's taxonomy places the organism in Eukaryota, Metazoa, Chordata, Actinopteri, Gymnotiformes, Gymnotidae.
UUGGGUAAGAGUGAGGCACAGACAAGCGCUGGCUAGUUUCCUCCUUUAAACUCAUGCUGGAGUUUUUAGGUGAUGCGGCGACUGCAUAAAACGGCAACUUCCAACACGAUGCUGGUAGCAUCGGCUAAGUGAGCAAAGACUCACAGGUUUUCUCUGUCAGCAGAGCGCGCGACAUGGUCCCCGUCAGCGUUCUGAGAGCGAGCCUUCCUACGGGCACCCUCCAGCACGCGCUUAGCCUGCUCGAGACGCGGACUGAGAACGGAGUCUGCGGGAUUGGACGCGGAUCUGAAACGCAACACGAGAAAAGGCAGACGUGUUAUACCGAAACACAUCUGUGACAAUGGUCUGGGGCGCAAAGCUUAACCAACAGAUCGGCUGUUCACAGAAAGGAGUGGGCGCAUCUGCUCAGAGGGGUUGCAGACUCUCUCCCACAGUGAUGGCUGGAUAUGGGACCCAUGGCUGGUUAUGUCAGCCCAUGGGACCUGUGACUAAAGAUGGUUAUGUCAGAGAAGAUUACGGCCUGUCUCCCAAUCGUCUGCCCUCCAGAGUUGACCCAGUUCUUCUGCUGGACUUUCUUCCCUUUGUAAUCUGUGGAUGCUCUCCAAACUCUCUGACCUUUGCAACUUCUUGUGAACCGCGACACCUCCAAACCUGAGCUUCUGCCUCCAGUACUCCCCCUCACAGAUUAGAUCCUUCUCCGAGCCCAUGGGGGAGGCUACCAGCCCAAAGAGUUGAGACUUCUCCUCCCUGUUGGUCACAGGUCUCUUUCUGUGUGCCAGUUAAGAAGGUGUGUACCUGAAACUGAGGCUCAGACCCCACCUCAUCAAUGGCGAUCGAGUUCUUCCUCCGAUCCAUGGAGAGGAUUUGUCUUGCUGACAGCUGGUCCUUAUCUCCUUGCUUUUGCGCUUGAUGUGUCAGAGCCUCCCUCUCCACUUUGCUAGUUUGCAGAGCUAUACCAGCCAGGCUUCAUGCCAGGUUUAACCAAACAGGAAAUGAUUGCAUUCAAAGAUUUCCCAUGAAGUGGAUUUAAUUUAUUUUAGUCUUCUCUCAUCAUAUAUGUUGCAAUUGGGGUUUUCAUAAUAAAUGUUUCAUAAUAAAUACCAAUAUUGGUAAAUAAUUUUAGAGAUUUACACAUAUUCAUGUGUGCUGAAUAUAGACAUGAUCAGCAGUCACAGGGAAUAAUGAUAAAAAACAGACAUGGAUAAUAUGUAUAAUGCAGAGUGCUAGAAAUGUGAUAUUUUUUAUCUAGAAAAGGAGAUUAAAACAUGCAAAAAUAUUAAAACAUGUUAUAAAUAUUAACAAAUAAAAUAUGUGUGAGUAAGGCAACAGUUUCUAUUUCAUGUGGACAGCCACAUAUAGGCCUAUCGUGAUAAGCAAUUCAAGCCAAAACUUUUCACAAAUGUAUUUACACAACAAAUUAGCCAGUCAUAAUGAGUAUAGCAAGGGCAUAGGCUGGUAUAUAUUCAAUAUAUUUACAGCCUCACAGUAAAUGCUUUUUUUUAUGUCGAAUAUAAUUUGUAUAUUUUAUAGACUUUAUAUAACAAGUAUUGAUCAAUACAUUACAUAAAAGCGAAUUAUUAAUCUCACCAGGAAUAAUUUACUUUAGGUUAUUCACUGUUUUACUAUCUGCCAUAUGACACAGCUGGGCGACGCGCAUUACUCCACCAUAUCUUAGAAAGUGAUUGGUUACAAUGUGCAUGUCUUUCUGUCCCUACCUGCAUGGACUGUUACUUGAAUUACUUGUUCUGAUCCAACGACUGCAUGAAUACAUUUCCCAUUCCAAGCCUUCUCGUUUGCGAGCCAUGUCAACGACUGGUCUUUUAAUCCCCACAGAAUACAGACGGAUUAGGCAAAAAUGGAAAUGAAUGCGUAGUACUUUAAAUCCUUUGACGCGAACUGCUUUUACUGCGUAUGUUUGUGUAAUGUACAUGAAUGCCCGUAAAGACUACAGUGCAUUCCAUAUGCA